CUCCAUACGACCUGUCAUGAACCUCUCAACCCCCACCAACAUCAGCAUGUACUUCACCCUCUACGGCAUCCUGGGUGUGGAGGAAAAAGCACAACUGUUGUACACCUACAUUUGGCUGGUGAAGGAAUGGGAGAAUGAAUUUUUCAGCUGGGACCCAGUCCAAUGCGGCUCUGCCAAUAUUUCUCUCCCCAGGGAAAGGUUCUGGUCACCAGAUGUGGUAAUCAAUGAAUUGUGAGUUAAACAUCUCUAUAGUCUAUAUAGAUACGAUAUACUUAUUUUUUUGAUGAAACAUUGACUUUGGUCUUCCUGAUAUUAGCCCAUAGAAACACAUUGAAUAACAGACUAAUACAUGGAAAAACACAAUCAAAAAAUGAUGAAAAGGAAGUUUGUUUUAAAGUGUCUGUCCUAUAUCUGAGAGAUAAACGAAAGAUC
Oncorhynchus mykiss (rainbow trout) is the source of this 432-nucleotide non-coding RNA. The record is from RefSeq and is a predicted model, not a curated record. Lineage: Eukaryota; Metazoa; Chordata; Actinopteri; Salmoniformes; Salmonidae.